Molecule: long non-coding RNA, 264 nt
Filed under: Anser brachyrhynchus (Pink-footed goose)
Lineage: Eukaryota; Metazoa; Chordata; Aves; Anseriformes; Anatidae
Description: lncRNA (ENSABRG00000016565.1)
Source: RNAcentral
CUUCAACCUGGGCUCUUCUACAGUCUGGUAGCAGUGUUUUCUUCAGAAGCUGAUGACAUUCUAGUCACUGGAACCUCAAUAUUGUGAAGAAUGGACAACGAUCUGAAACAGUUUGGAAAUGGAGAAGGAAACCUGUCUAUUAUUAUAUGGCUAGAAGGACAGUUCUCUCUUCAUCUCUGGGACAAAUGGGAUGGUCACAUCAGCACUGGUUUGCAAGGAACAAGUGGCACAAGAGCACAAAUGUGCUCAGAUUUCAUGUCUUGA